AACAUUGUGGAGAGGAAAGCAUUAGGGGAGCCCACGGCUACAAAAACAAGUGAGUGAGAAGAGGUGGGAGGAAGAGAAACUACGCCACCUCCCCUGCAGCCGAGUGCACGCAGCAGCCUGGCGUGACAAGUGGGCGACGCCGGGGGGCAGGGAGCCGGGGUCCUUGGCCCUGGCCGGGGACCCCACCGCCCACCGCGCGGAGGACAACUUUUAGCCGGCAGCCCAGACCAGCGCGGCACCUGUCUCCGGAGUCUCCACCGCUCCUCCCGAUUCAUCCCAGGGAAAUUCUCAAGAAUACGCUCUACAAAUCUACGUGCGCAUCAUUUUCACCUCGCGUCGCGCCCGGGAGGAAGGAACGAGGCAAGGAGCUAAAGCAGCGUGCGUUCAGCCCUGGGGCAUUUUAUUAAUGCUUUUACGAGUUAGAAGAGUUGGGAUAAUUUGCCAUCUGGAGUUUCUCUGCCUUGCUGAUCUGAGCUCAGACCUGCCAAUUUACCAGAGAUAAUUGAUAACACCCUGUAACAGCUGAGAGGAAAAUGGAAGAAACGGAGAUACUUUUAGUGAAGCAGAAUAAACCACUGAACAGUCUGUUUCAUCUUCAUAAAAACGCUGCUUUCAGUGCACUGGAUUUAUUUUACAACCCACUAAUGGAUUACCCUACAGUUUGAAAAACAUUGCGUUAGACCAGUUUGACUGUUGUCAAGAACCAAAAAAGGAAAAAUGAGGAAGCUGUGAGUACCAGUGGAAGGAACGAGCCAGGAAGAGGGACUGGAACCAUCUCAGAAGCCAUGCCCCUCAGGCUGGAACUUGCCCUGUCUCCUCGCAGAUGAGGUAGGAGGCUCAGCACGGGCUGGUGGGAGCAGCCCACAGCAGCAGUGAGGGUCAGUGGGCCUGUGAGUUAAGAAGAAGGUGGCACAGAGCGAGGGUCUCUGGAUCCUGACUGUUUGACUUUUCCAUGAUUAGGAUAAGUAGCCAGGGCUUGGCUAGUUGGAGAGUUACUCGAACCUCAGGUGACAGUUGUAAGGCAGCACAUAGUGAAAAAGAGUCCUAGCCUGGGAAAGUCCAAAACCUUAGGUCUGGUUUCAGUUCACUCACCUAUCUCUGUGACAUAGCAAAGUCUGUUAAUUUCUCUAAUUUUCUGAUUAGUAGUAUAGUUGCAGGAAUGAAAUAAAAAUGGUCCUGAUUACUCAGAGAUUCAUUUACUGAUUACUCUUUUUGUGACCUGAAUAAAGAGUACAACAUCUCUCAAAAGGUAACAAUAUGAUGUUUCAGGAAAUUAGAGAAGUUAAGAGACUUUGCUGUAUUUACUAUACAGAUAGUUGACUGACAGCUGAGCCCGGACCCAAGAUUCAUUUAUAAAAUGAAGGAGUUGAGAAGUACAUACUCUGAGGUUUAUCCUAAAUAAACUGAAGUCUAGGCAAGUGGCUGAGCUAGGUUUGCCAUGAAUCAAUCUGCUGAGUAUAUUUCUUGGUAACUAGUUCAUCUUUCCUUAAUUCAGUCAACAAAUAUGAUAUCAAGUUUAGUAAGAUGAUGACAGUUGUCAUGUAAUACUCCAUCUGGAAGAUUGUAUGCUUCUCAGCUUCCCUAACUUUUCUUAAUCUACCUUAAGCUUCCUUUCUGAAAGGUUUCUGUCUUUCCUAACAGUCUCUUCUUUCCGCCAGCUACCUCUUGUGUUUAAGAAUUAAAGGAAGAUGAGCUAGGAAUCAAGAAAUACGCAGAACUGAUUCCUGUCACUGGCGCCACCCUGCCACUUGCCCAGAGCUGUGGUAUAAAUUUUUUUAAUAGGCUGAAAUAAAAAUAUGAAUAGCAUUUUGGUAUUAAGCAUUAAAUUGAUAAAGGCUAUGAGAUACACCUGCUCUCAACCAUGUUAAUUUUUUAUUAUUGGUAUUAAUAAAUUAUUACUUACUAACAUAUUAACAAGAAUUGCAUUGAGAAACAAAGCAUCCACAGGCCAAAUCUUCUGAAUUUCAAAUGUUUAUAUUAAUGCGUUGUAUUCUAGAAAAGUAGAAUUGUCUUAAGUAGCUUUGUAAUAUAAAGUCAUCUAUCAGCCCAUUACACCUAUUAGAAUGUUUUAACCUUUAUUUCCCACUUUUUUGUUUCUAGACUGAGUGUACUUGGUCUGGUAUUUGUGGCAUAACUUACGGAACACAUAAGAAUGAUACAGAUACUAUUUAAUGAUGACCUAAUACAAGCUUAGAUAGCUAAGGUGAAAGCUUCUAUGGCCUUAACAUUUUCCUCUUGAAGAAUGUAUUUUCUGUAAUAAAAUACAGUGGCUACUUGAAAUCUAUAAACUUAUGUGAGGUCUGGAUAAAUCUGAGCAACUUUCUUCUUUGUGCUCCAGGAACCUACGCACUAUAUAUAUAAAUAAAGCUUAAGUAAACAUC
Molecule: long non-coding RNA, 2381 nt
Organism: Homo sapiens (human)
Lineage: Eukaryota; Metazoa; Chordata; Mammalia; Primates; Hominidae
Gene: LINC-PINT
Product: long intergenic non-protein coding RNA, p53 induced transcript
Source: Ensembl